AUACUACAAAAACAAAAUAAUUGUCUAUAUAUCUCUAAAAGUUUCGAAAAUAUCUCAUUUAUCUAUACUUUUUUUCUCUUUCCAAUAUACCUCUCAUAUAUUCCAAUGUUAUUUCAAAAUAUUCCUAUAUUGUCACCCGUUAAGUUAACUUGGGUUAAAUAUGAGUUAAAUAUCUAUCAGAAUUAAAAUAAAUCAAAAUGUCUUUUUUGACUUUAACUUAAGAGCAAAUAAAAAAUAUUGGUAAUGGUAAAAGGAUAUAUUUAAAAAUACAAAAAUUAAAAUAUCUUUUGUGCCCUAGCUUAUGGGUAAAUAAGAAAAAUCGGUGAUGAUAGAAGGCUAUAUUGGAAAGGAUAAAAUAGUAAUUAUAUAGAAAUAACAACUAUUGCUAACAGUUUAUUAAUAAAAUUUAAAGGCAUAUUUGAAAUAGGUUGGAAUGUUAAAAAGCAUUUUCAAUAUUAGUCUUCUAAGAUAUAUAAAUAAAUUAGAAAGUCGAAAACUUUUCAAGAAUAUAUAAGUAAUUGUCCCGGAAAAAAAAACUCUCCGUUAUACAUUAGCUAGAUAUAUCCAAA
Molecule: long non-coding RNA, 569 nt
Filed under: Ananas comosus (pineapple)
Lineage: Eukaryota; Viridiplantae; Streptophyta; Magnoliopsida; Poales; Bromeliaceae
Description: long non-coding RNA (ACOM_LNC019467)
Source: RNAcentral